GAUCAUGUGGCCGAGUGGUCUAAGGCGCUGGAUUAAGGCUCCAGUCUCUUCGGAGGCGUGGGUUCAAAUCCCACCGUGAUCA
Molecule: transfer RNA, 82 nt
Organism: Ramazzottius varieornatus
Lineage: Eukaryota; Metazoa; Tardigrada; Eutardigrada; Parachela; Ramazzottiidae
Rfam family: tRNA
About the family: Transfer RNA (tRNA) molecules are approximately 80 nucleotides in length.
Source: Rfam